RNAcentral lists this long non-coding RNA (3342 nucleotides) under Homo sapiens (human). RNAcentral's name for it is "HSALNT0006989". Lineage: Eukaryota; Metazoa; Chordata; Mammalia; Primates; Hominidae. The record is from RNAcentral.
ACCCCAUUGUGAAUUACCUAAGUAGACACUUUUACAAGAUAGCAUUAUUUUUUAAUGCAGAUGAUCCAAGUUUUAUUAAAGUUUACAUACUUAAGCAUAAAUAAAUUAACAGAUUUGUAGCACCAAUAAUGGUGGCAUGAUGGUACACCUGGAGGUAACAUUAUCAAGAGCUUUUGUUGAAACCUUUCAUUUUCAAUCAGGUGCUGAUUUUUUUCCACCCAAGUCUUCAAUUAUUACUGUUCUAACACUGCAAAAACCAUUCAAGCAUAAAAAAGCAUGCAAGAGGCAGUAAAAUAAGCCCAAAUAAUUGAGAAUUGAACAAGAAAACAAAAUAAUUUACUCUUAAAAUGACAAAAGUAAAAUUAAGACAACCUCUAAACCAGGGGUCUGGUGAACUUGGAUGGGAAAAAUUUUAAAUCUUUCUUUUCACCAACUUCUAACUGAAAUAUAACAUUUCCUUCAAUUACGAAUAUAGGAAACAGUCCACAGUAGGAUCAGAGUACCUGUGACUUUGUCACCAAUAGAAAUGAGACAUUUAGAUAUAUUACAGUUGUUAGAUAUUUCAAGAUAUGAAUUUGAAUUAUAGUAAUUUUAGAACCACCAUGCAGUCUUAUUUUGUGUUAACAGAAUAUGUAUGUUACUGGAUCAUAAAACUUUGAAAAUAUCAACUUUAUUUUAACAUGAUCAGUUUCCUUUGCGAUCCUUUAUAUUUAGUUUUAUGCUUUGAAAACAUUACUAUGAGAGGGGGUCCACAGGCUUCACUGGAUCACUAAAAAGCUCAAUGGCACAAAAAAGUUUGAAACAAAUAAGUCAUUAAUAUCACAGGAAGAGAGUACUUAAUAGUGAAAUAGGGUGGGUGCAGUGGCUCAUGCCUGCAAUCCAAACACUUUGGGAGGCUGAGGCGGGCAGAUUACCUGAGGCCAGGAGUUCGAGACCAGCCUGGGCAACAUGGCAAAACCCCAUCUUUACUAGAAAUACAAAAAUUAGCCAAGCAUGGUGGCACGCGCCUGUAGUACCAGCUACUUGGGAGGCUGAGGCACGAGAAUCGCUUGAACCUGGGAGCUGUGGAGGUUGCAGUGAGUCAAGAUUGUACCAGUGCACUCCAGCCUGAGUAACAGUGUGAGACUCUGUCUCAAAAAAAAAAAAAGUGAAAUAUAUGAAGCUGACUUCAACAGUAACAGAUUUCAGAAAAGGUCUAAAAACUGUGCUCCAGAAUUUAAUUACCACAAGGAGUUAGAAAAUCCACACUACCAUCCAGCUUCCUAAACAGAAGACUAAAUUUCCCGCUAUCCCUGUCUUUACCACUGUACUCACCCCCACCCUAGACUCUAGUGUAGAACAAGUAGUCAAGGAAAGAGAGAUUAAAAUGGUCACUCAUGCAGAUGAUACCCAAAUGCAAACAUGACACGCUUAGCAACUGGAAACCUGGUGGGAGGGGCGCAAGGGAAGAGAGAUUAAAAUGGUUACUCAUGCUGAUGAUACUCAAAUGCAAACAUCAGUCUGGCUUAAUUAUGCUAAAAAAGAGGAGACAAAUAUUUGAGUGCCUGCUAAAUAUCAAGAAUGUCUUGGUAUUUUCACAUAUAAGGAAUUCUCUCAACAAGAGGGGAGAUAUUUGUCUAAACUUGGAUCAAUACUUUCAAGAGAAAUGAAGGUAUCUCAGGCACUUCUCAUUCAGGAAGCGAAGAGAAAUGAAACCAAGGGAAGGUGGAGAAUAUAGGACAACUGUACAGUUGCUUUAAAAAAAAAAAAAAAGAUGGGAUUCUCAUUAUAUUGCCCAGGAUGGUGUUGAACUCCUGGCCCCAAGUGAUCUAGAUAAUUCUUUGUUUUGUUUUUAUAAGGGAGGGUCUUUUCUAACAGUGGGCUCUUUGAUUCCUGUGAGACAGCAGCAUUUUGUGUUUCUCUGUUUGCUUCAUUGGAUGCAUUACAAUUAAACCUGUGCCUGACUAAGGAAACUAAGUAUGCACUAAUGAUGGGAGACGAAACAACAGGGCUUUUUAUUUUUUUUUAAUGGUAACUCCUAUCCACUACCCAUGUUUUAUAUAGUCCCCAUGUUUGUUUGUAUUUUUUUGUACAGAGAGGGUCUUGCUAUGUUGCCCAGGUUGGUCUCGAACUCCUGACCUCAAGUGAUCCUCCUGCUUUGGCCUCCCAAAGUGCUGGGAUUACAGGCGUGAGCCACUGUGCCUGGCUGAGUCCCCACGUUUUAUCCCAUGUUUUCUAACAAAAAGAAGAAAGAAACAAUGACUGCUUGACAAUGACGGCUAAUUCCUCCUUUCUUCCCCAUCUGGAUGUGUUCACAACUUUCUAUCAUCCAAAUCUAGACAAACUAAAAAUAAAAACCUACACUUUGUGACCAAAGUCUUCCUUGAUUAGCUGUUAACUGCUUUUCAUUUGGACUCAGGAAGGCUAAAGACUAGGCCAUAGGAGGAGUGACUAACUUAUUCUUUAGUCAAACAGCACUGAUGCAGUUGUCAGCAAUGCCCCUGUGACUGAGGAAAGUAUUGUUUUACAAAGUUUUUAAUAUUUUAUGGCAUAAUAACAGUGAAUCAUAUUAGAAUUCUGGUGUAGGCUGGGCACAGUCACUCACGCCUGUAAUCCCAGCACUUUGGAAGGCCUAAGUGGGUGGAUCACCUGAGGUCAGGAGUUCGAGACCAGCCUGGCCAACCUGGUGAAACCCCGUCUCUACUAAAAAUACAAAAUUAUCCAGGUGUGGUGGCGCAUGCCUGUAAUCCCAGCUACUCGGGAGGCUGAGGCAGGAGAAUCGCUUGAACCUCAGAGGUGGAGGUUGUAGUGAGCCAAGAUCAUACCAUUGCACUCCAGCCUCAGCAACAAGAGCAAAAUUCCAUCUCAAAAGAUUCUGGUGUAUUAUUAUUAUGACCUGAUAUCAUUCUAAUAUUAAGCUCUGUAUUAUUGCAGGUAAAAAUAAAACGAGUUUUUGCCAAGUAAAAUUUAUACUUAAUUCUGUAUCACAAGAGUCUAAUUUUUAGUGUUAAAAUGAAGUUUUCUCUGAAAAUAUGUUUACCUUAUACUUGAUAUGCUAUCUAACAGAGAAAAAUAGUUCUUUGGAAACACUCAUCAAACAAAAACCUAUAGCCUGUGCAAAAUAACAUCAAAUGUACUGCUGAGAGAUCAGUUUUGCAUCAAAAUGGUCCCUGACCAUCACAUUAUAAAGCAAUAGCAAUAAACACAGAACAUUUCAUAAUUCUUAUCUAGGUUGGGCAGGAAUAGGAGGGAAGGUCUAGAAAAAUCAGAUACUCAAAUUUCAGCACAUAAUUAUUCAAAUAAAAUUUUAAUGAUUUCAGUUCCUGAAAAUGUAGUGUCAUUAAAGGUCAUUUCCUGCUAAAU